This is a long non-coding RNA of Lemur catta (Ring-tailed lemur), 282 nucleotides long. RefSeq lists it as uncharacterized. The record is from RefSeq and is a predicted model, not a curated record. The transcript is spliced from 3 exons. Lineage: Eukaryota; Metazoa; Chordata; Mammalia; Primates; Lemuridae.
UUGUGCACACUGGUGACCCAGGCCCGGCUAGUCACUGUGUCCUAUCCUGCUCCUCCUCUCCGCCACAGUGACUGGGUCAAGCGGCACGUGACCCAACCUGGCUGAACAAGGGCUAACCCCAGGCAUUUUUCUGGAACUACUUGACAAAAAGCAGAUCUUCAUAUUACGUGGCCCUGAGCAGUAAAACAACUAACCUAUCUGGAGUUCCAAGGAAGGACCAGCCAUUUGGCUCCAAGCAGGGACGAAAACUGAGCUUUAGAGUGCUUAAAUAACUUUAACAAG